GUACUAACCUAUACUUGUGUUUAAUUUAAAAUUCUGAGACCAAAAAUGAUUCAUAAUAUAGUAGAUGUUAAUACAAUUUCCAUAAAAAAGUAAUAUUCUUAUGUAAGUGCAAAAACCUUAUGAACCCAUCUAGACGACCCAAAUACUGAUACAUAAUUGUGCAUGUGCAGCGCUGCUACUGCUGCAGAUUUUAUAGCGCUAUAGGGACCUGACCUCUACUGUACAUCAUCAAGAGCUGUUAUGUGCUCACAUAAAACCGGUUAUGUAAACCGGUUGAUGCUGACCUAAUUGUGGCUGAAUGAUUAUCAGAACAAGCAAAUCAAAUUCUUCUUCUGCCUUGCAUUCAACACCAACAACAGGUUGAGCAACAGCCUAUCGACAUGCAUCAAACAAACCCCUAUAAUGUGUUUUUCUUCCUCCGUGCAAGAAUGUAAGGAAACGAUUACAUGGGCUGGUAUUUGUAAGUGUUCCCAUAUGGCUGAGGCGCACAGUUUACAUCAGACUGCGGACAAAUCUCCACUGCUCAAAGCAUACAGAUUGAUGGAGCAGACCCAUGAAUGAUUAACAGGGUACUGAUGGUGACAAAGGGCAGACAGCACAGCCUUAGAGUCCAAGCUCGUUCCUGACUAAUGAUUCUUAUCAAGCGGAAGUCACAUAAGCUUUUGACGAAGUGCCCUGGAAUUCAAAACAGGAAAAGCAAAGAGAAGGAAGGACGAUGUUCUCCGUCCCUGACUGACUACUCCAUCUAUGGCAAAUAAGAACAAGCAGAUAAGGCUCCACGGACAGAGACUCGGUGAUGAGAAGAAGGCAGACAAAACCACAGGCAUGAGUGAACACAAAUGACUUGUGAUGCAACAGAUAAACCUGCCUCCUGACUGACAGCCAACCCUCUGUCGAGGCAGUCUGACCUGAGCUCUGAGAAAGCAGGAGAAGGAAAAGAGCAAACAUCAAAGAAGAACGAAAGAGGAAGGAAGAAGGAAAAUAAUACAAAAAGAUGUGAGAAACAAAGAGAACUCUGGCAGUGUGCAACAAGCAUCUCUGCCUCUCAUUUCGAGGUCACUGUGAAUCGAGCCAGGCGGCCUGUGAUCCACGUGUUGGUGGGGAAGCUGUGAGAAAGAGCUUGGUCCGCAAACAGAAGGAAGGAGCCCUGAAGAAGCAAGAUCAGAUAAUCACAGUUGCUUAUAUAUAUUUCUUGAGACAAAAAUGCAGAUUUUAUUUAUCUGUAUCUGGACUUUAACAAAAUUAAAAGAAUAAUACUGAAUAAAAAUAUUCCAGCA
Molecule: long non-coding RNA, 1277 nt
Organism: Astatotilapia calliptera (eastern happy)
Lineage: Eukaryota; Metazoa; Chordata; Actinopteri; Cichliformes; Cichlidae
Source: Ensembl